RNAcentral lists this ribosomal RNA (499 nucleotides) under Creaseria morleyi. RNAcentral's name for it is "partial small subunit ribosomal RNA". The record is from RNAcentral. Lineage: Eukaryota; Metazoa; Arthropoda; Malacostraca; Decapoda; Palaemonidae.
GUGUAGAAUUUGAAUUUUGAGUGUGAUGUUAGUGUUUUGCAACUUUUUUAGAGGCUAUUAAAAUUUAGGCUUAAACCAGGAUUAGAUACCCUGUUAUACUAAAUCAGAAAUAAAGUUACUUGAGUAGUACAAGUUAUGAUCUCGAAACUUAAAGGAUAUGGCGGUACUCGAGUCUGGUUAGAGGAACCUGCUCCGUGAACGAUAUGCCACGAAUUAUCUUACUUUAUCUUGUAUCUCAGCAUGUAUAUCGCCAUCAUUAAAUGGAAUUAUGAAAUAUCCAUUGAAAUAAGUAGGUAUUUAGUAGAUUAGGUCAAGGUGCAGCUGAUGAUAAAGUGGAAGUGGGUUACAUUGCAUUAUAUGCAUACGGAUAGCAAUACCUGAAAGUGGGGGCUUGAAGGUGGAUUUAAUUGUAUUUUUAUUUUAAUAAGUUAAGGUGAUAAUAGCUCUGGAGUGUGUACAUAUUGCCCGUCGCUCUCAUUAUUAUAAGUAAGGUGAGAUA